GGACUACGCGGGUAUCUAAUCCUGUUUGAUCCCCACGCUUUCGUGCCUCAGCGUCAAUCGUUGUGUAGUAAGCUGCCUUCGCAAUUGGUGUUCUAUGUCAUAUCUAAGCAUUUCACCGCUACAUGACAUAUUCCGCUUACCUCCACAAUAUUCAAGACAAAUAGUAUCAACGGCAGUUUCCGGGUUAAGCCCGGAGAUUUCACCACUGACUUACCUGCCCACCUACGCACCCUUUAAACCCAGUGAAUCCGGAUAACGCUUGCACCCUCCGUAUUACCGCGGCGGCUGACAC
Molecule: unclassified non-coding RNA, 292 nt
Filed under: uncultured fungus
Lineage: Eukaryota; Fungi
Description: sequence contains ITS1
Source: RNAcentral